Non-coding RNA from Camelina sativa (false flax), 261 nucleotides. NCBI's taxonomy places the organism in Eukaryota, Viridiplantae, Streptophyta, Magnoliopsida, Brassicales, Brassicaceae. The record is from RefSeq and is a predicted model, not a curated record.
GUUCCUUACGUUUUUUUCUUCGUUUUUGCAGGUGUUUUGGAAGCCAGUUAUGAUAUGACCAUGGCGUAUUCUUCUCCAUGCUGCCACGUCUUCAGCCACGUUCUCACAGAUUCGUGGAGGCUUUGACUGAUCGUUGUCACUCUAAUUCAUGUUAUUCUUCUAGGAUUGUGGAGGAAAGAGGAUGCUUUGAUCGGUUGCUGAUGGUUUUGAUGGAUCGUUUUUGUCUUCAGGUAGUCUUCUUCCUCUUCACCGAUUCUUUUU